GGAAUAACUAUUGGAAACGAUAGCUAAUACCGCAUAACGGUAGAUGUUGCAUGACAUUUGCUUAAAAGGUGCAAUUGCAUCACUACCAGAUGGACCUGCGUUGUAUUAGCUAGUUGGUGGGCUAACGGUUCACCAAGGCGACGAUACAUAGCCGACCUGAGAGGGUGAUCGGCCACACUGGGACUGAGACACGGCCCAGACUCCUACGGGAGGCAGCAGUAGGGAAUCUUCGGCAAUGGACGGAAGUCUGACCGAGCAACGCCGCGUGAGUGAAGAAGGUUUUCGGAUCGUAAAGCUCUGUUGUAAGAGAAGAACGAGUGUGAGAGUGGAAAGUUCGCACUGUGACGGUAUCUUACCAGAAAGGGACGGCUAACUACGUGCCAGCAGCCGCGGUAAUACGUAGGUCCCGAGCGUUGUCCGGAUUUAUUGGGCGUAAAGCGAGCGCAGGCGGUUAGAUAAGUCUGAAGUUAAAGGCUGUGGCUUAACCAUAGUACGCUUUGGAAACUGUUUAACUUGAGUGCAAGAGGGGAGAGUGGAAUUCCAUGUGUAGCGGUGAAAUGCGUAGAUAUAUGGAGGA
RNAcentral lists this ribosomal RNA (577 nucleotides) under uncultured Bacilli bacterium. RNAcentral describes it as "bacterial SSU rRNA". It matches the Rfam family "Bacterial small subunit ribosomal RNA", at positions 140 to 705 of the family's 1533-position model. The record is from RNAcentral. Lineage: Bacteria; Bacillati; Bacillota; Bacilli.